GACGAACGCUGGCGGCGUGCUUAACACAUGCAAGUCGAACGCUGAAGCACCAGCUUGCUGGUGUGGAUGAGUGGCGAACGGGUGAGUAAUACGUGAGUAACCUGCCCUUGACUCUGGGAUAAGCCCGGGAAACUGGGUCUAAUACUGGAUGCUACAUGUCACCGCAUGGUGGUGUGUGGAAAGGGUUUACUGGUCUUGGAUGGGCUCACAGCCUAUCAGCUUGUUGGUGAGGUAAUGGCUCACCAAGGCGACGACGGGUAGCCGGCCUGAGAGGGUGACCGGCCACACUGGGACUGAGACACGGCCCAGACUCCUACGGGAGGCAGCAGUGGGGAAUAUUGCACAAUGGGCGAAAGCCUGAUGCAGCGACGCCGCGUGAGGGAUGACGGCCUUCGGGUUGUAAACCUCUUUCAGCAGGGAAGAAGCCACAAGUGACAGUACCUGCAGAAGAAGCGCCGGCUAACUACGUG
RNAcentral lists this ribosomal RNA (470 nucleotides) under uncultured bacterium. RNAcentral's name for it is "partial 16S ribosomal RNA". It matches the Rfam family "Bacterial small subunit ribosomal RNA", at positions 28 to 507 of the family's 1533-position model. The record is from RNAcentral.